RNAcentral lists this long non-coding RNA (576 nucleotides) under Salmo salar (Atlantic salmon). Its description in RNAcentral is "lncRNA (ENSSSAG00000084679.1)". Lineage: Eukaryota; Metazoa; Chordata; Actinopteri; Salmoniformes; Salmonidae. The record is from RNAcentral.
GAAAUAAUGUAGCUAGGGGAAAAUAAUAUAGCCGGUGGGAAAUAAUAUAGCUAGGGAGAAAUAAUGUAGCUAGGGGGAAAUAAUAUAGGUUGGGUGGAAAUAAUGUAGCUAGGGGAAAAUAAUGUAGUUAGGGAGAAAUAAUGUAGCUAGGGAGAAAUAAUGUAGCUAGGGAGAAAUAAUAUAUGUUGGGGGGUUAAUAAUAUAGCUAGGGGGAAAUAAUAUAGCUAUGGAGAAAUAAUGUAGCUAGGGAGAAAUAAUGUAGCUAGCGGGAAAUAAUAUAGGUUGGGGGGAAAUAAUGUAGCUAGGGGAAAAUAAUGUAGUUAGGGAGAAAUAAUGUAGCUAUGGAGAAAUAAUGUAGCUAGGGAGAAAUAAUAUAGGUUGGGGGUAAAUAACAUAGCUAGGGGGAAAUAAUAUAGAUUGGGGGGAAAUAAUAUAGCAAGGGAGAAAUAAUGUAGCUAGGGAGAAAUAUUGUAGCUAGGGGGAAAUAAUAUAGCUAGGGAGAAAUAAUGUAGCUAGGGAGAAAUAAUGUAGCUAGGGGGAAAUUAUAUAGGUUGGGGGGAAAUAAUAUAGCUAGGG